CAUAAACCUGGGGAUGGGAAACAGCGAAGGAGGACGUCAGGCAGGAAGAUUUCAAAAGAUAGGCUAGAAACUACUUAGACGUCUAGAUGAGAACUUGGACUCAGAGGGUUUUACUUUACAAACAACGUGGACCAUCAGAUGAAGAAUGCUCGUCCAGCAGCUCCUUAAGAACACUGCAGCAGAUGGUUACUUGCAGGUGCUGCCAGUAGGAGAUUGCCGGAGACUACAGGUGUGGCUCAUUGGUUCAUCAGCUGGGAAGCAUAAAGAGGGUGGAUUGCCAACACUUCGUUGCCUGAGUGCUUUGCCUUCCAUGGUGUGAUUUCUAGGUGAUCUGAUCCAGACCUCUGUUUGUUGUGCGGACUCCUUCCAGGACUGAACCUGUGUGUUCCUCUCCUGACUCUGUGUGCCCCCCCCCCAAGUGACGGGGAUUAGGCUCACCGCUUUUCAUUAGUGCCUGA
This is a long non-coding RNA of Girardinichthys multiradiatus, 458 nucleotides long. RefSeq lists it as uncharacterized. Lineage: Eukaryota; Metazoa; Chordata; Actinopteri; Cyprinodontiformes; Goodeidae. The transcript is spliced from 4 exons. The record is from RefSeq and is a predicted model, not a curated record.